GACUACCGGCGCCGUGUCUUUUCAUUCGUGUGAGCUAUCUUACUGUUGCCUUUCAAGUGCUUGCGUGAUGUUACCCGACCUACGGGUAUUGGUGCUUCAUACACAGUUGCCUCGCGGUGGACGCCUUUGGGUGUGCUGCUGCGGCCAUAUGGYGCUUGYGGCGUUGCCUCUUGGUGCUGGCAUGUUUCGUGCCUGGUGCUAUCAAGGCAGCCUCGCUCCCGCUGUUGGUUUCGGAUGUUGCUCAUGAUAAAGGCUCGUGGCCCUUUUGGUUGCCUCGACCUGACCCUAAUAAUGCUCUCCGAAUUUGAGAACAACCGGAACAUGUGUUGCCUCUACCUCUCCACAGUUAGUGGUAGGAUUACGCAACAUACUGUGCCGAUCCUCAUACUAGUAGGACGAGCUAGGCCCGCUCAAUUGCGACAACCGGCCCGGCUGUUGCCUCGCCUUGCCACGCAAGUGGAUGGGUGGAUGACUACCGACGCUGGAUGUCAAAGAGGACGUGCUACCUGGUUGAUCCUGCCAGUAGUC
RNAcentral lists this unclassified non-coding RNA (528 nucleotides) under Anthoxanthum redolens. RNAcentral's name for it is "contains 3' external transcribed spacer, ETS". Lineage: Eukaryota; Viridiplantae; Streptophyta; Magnoliopsida; Poales; Poaceae. The record is from RNAcentral.